This 433-nucleotide ribosomal RNA is filed under the name uncultured bacterium. Its description in RNAcentral is "bacterial SSU rRNA". It matches the Rfam family "Bacterial small subunit ribosomal RNA", at positions 958 to 1392 of the family's 1533-position model. The record is from RNAcentral.
AACGCGAAGAACCUUACCUACUCUUGACAUCCUGCGAACUUGGUAGAGAUACCUUGGUGCCUUCGGGAACGCAGAGACAGGUGCUGCAUGGCUGUCGUCAGCUCGUGUUGUGAAAUGUUGGGUUAAGUCCCGUAACGAGCGCGACCCUUGUCCUUAGUUGCCAUCAUUUAGUUGGGGACUCUAAGGAGACUGCCGGUGACAAACCGGAGGAAGGCGGGGACGACGUCAAGUCAUCAUGGCCCUUACGAGUAGGGCUACACACGUGCUACAAUGGCAAGUACAGAGGGCCGCGAAGCCGCGAGGUGGAGCUAAUCUCACAAAGCUUGUCGUAGUCCGGAUUGGAGUCUGCAACUCGACUCCAUGAAGUCGGAAUCGCUAGUAAUCGCAAAUCAGAAUGUUGCGGUGAAUACGUUCCCCGGGUCUGUACACACCG